CCUACGGGUGGCAGCAGUGAGGAAUAUUGGUCAAUGGGCGGGAGCCUGAACCAGCCAAGUCGCGUGAGGGAAGACGGUCCUAUGGAUUGUAAACCUCUUUAGUAGGGGAGCAAUGCCGGGCACGCGUGCCCGUAUGGAUAGUACCCGCAGAAUAAGCAUCGGCUAACUCCGUGCCAGCAGCCGCGGUAAUACGGAGGAUGCGAGCGUUAUCCGGCUUUAUUGGGUUUAAAGGGUGAGUCGGCGGAUUUUUAAGUCAGUGGUAAAUUGUCCGGGCUAAACCCGGGGCGGCAGUUGGAACUGGGGAUCUUGAGUGGGCGAGAAGUAUGCGGAAGGCGUGGUGUAGCGGUGAAAUGCAUAGAUAUCACGCAGAACUCCGAUUGCGAAGGCAGCAUACCGGAGCCCGACUGACGCUGAGGCACGAAAGCGUGGGGAUCGAACAGGAUUAGAUACCCUGGUAGUC
RNAcentral lists this ribosomal RNA (460 nucleotides) under uncultured bacterium. Its description in RNAcentral is "partial 16S ribosomal RNA". It matches the Rfam family "Bacterial small subunit ribosomal RNA", at positions 338 to 795 of the family's 1533-position model. The record is from RNAcentral.